Molecule: non-coding RNA, 23 nt
Filed under: Arabidopsis thaliana (thale cress)
Lineage: Eukaryota; Viridiplantae; Streptophyta; Magnoliopsida; Brassicales; Brassicaceae
Source: RNAcentral
CAAUCUGUGCCACGGAAACCAGU